RNAcentral lists this ribosomal RNA (499 nucleotides) under Veillonella parvula. RNAcentral's name for it is "bacterial SSU rRNA". It matches the Rfam family "Bacterial small subunit ribosomal RNA", at positions 28 to 496 of the family's 1533-position model. Lineage: Bacteria; Bacillati; Bacillota; Negativicutes; Veillonellales; Veillonellaceae. The record is from RNAcentral.
GACGAACGCUGGCGGCGUGCUUAACACAUGCAAGUCGAACGAAGAGCGAUGGAAGCUUGCUUCUAUCAAUCUUAGUGGCGAACGGGUGAGUAACGCGUAAUCAACCUGCCCUUCAGAGGGGGACAACAGUUGGAAACGACUGCUAAUACCGCAUACGAUCUAAUCUCGGCAUCGAGGAUAGAUGAAAGGUGGCCUCUACAUGUAAGCUAUCACUGAAGGAGGGGAUUGCGUCUGAUUAGCUAGUUGGAGGGGUAACGGCCCACCAAGGCGAUGAUCAGUAGCCGGUCUGAGAGGAUGAACGGCCACAUUGGGACUGAGACACGGCCCAGACUCCUACGGGAGGCAGCAGUGGGGAAUCUUCCGCAAUGGACGAAAGUCUGACGGAGCAACGCCGCGUGAGUGAUGACGGCCUUCGGGUUGUAAAGCUCUGUUAAUCGGGACGAAAGGCCAUCUUGCGAAUAGUGAGAAGGAUUGACGGUACCGGAAUAGAAAGCCACGG